CAGUAGCCGCGGGAAUACGGAGGGAGCUAGCGUUGUUCGGAAUUACUGGGCGUAAAGCGCACGUAGGCGGUUAUUCAAGUCAGAGGUGAAAGCCCGGGGCUCAACCCCGGAACUGCCUUUGAAACUAGAUGACUGGAAUCUUGGAGAGGUCAGUGGAAUUCCGAGUGUAGAGGUGAAAUUCGUAGAUAUUCGGAAGAACACCAGUGGCGAAGGCGACUGACUGGACAAGUAUUGACGCUGAGGUGCGAAAGCGUGGGGAGCAAACAGGAUUAGAUACCCGCGUAGUCCCUGUCUCUUAUAC
RNAcentral lists this ribosomal RNA (301 nucleotides) under uncultured bacterium. RNAcentral describes it as "partial 16S ribosomal RNA". It matches the Rfam family "Bacterial small subunit ribosomal RNA", at positions 509 to 807 of the family's 1533-position model. The record is from RNAcentral.